CCCCGAGCUUCUUACUACACCACCGCACCUCCGUUCAUCGUCGACAUGUCGCUCCACCGAGCCCCCCUCGAGCCCAUGUUGCACACCUCCAGGGCUCGGUGAGCUACCCCGUUUCCUUCUUUCCCCGCCACGAUUCCAUUCCGGCAACUAUCGCCGCGUUCCGACGGCGUUAGGUUCCUGUAGGAGGAGGUGGAGUUUCCCUCCUCUCUUUGUGUUGAGAGGCUACUGUGAGACAUGUCCACGAGGUUGGAGUUGAGAGAGAUGUUUGGAAG
RNAcentral lists this long non-coding RNA (272 nucleotides) under Hordeum vulgare. Its description in RNAcentral is "long non-coding RNA (HVUL_LNC000868)". The record is from RNAcentral. Lineage: Eukaryota; Viridiplantae; Streptophyta; Magnoliopsida; Poales; Poaceae.